RNAcentral lists this long non-coding RNA (1358 nucleotides) under Ailuropoda melanoleuca (giant panda). RNAcentral describes it as "lncRNA (ENSAMEG00000026795.1)". The record is from RNAcentral. Lineage: Eukaryota; Metazoa; Chordata; Mammalia; Carnivora; Ursidae.
CGAAUUUCAGAAUCGCUUGUUCUGGGCUGGAGGGCGCCAUACCCCCUUCUGAAUGGAACGGGACAGGGGCCCAGGCCUUUGACAGCGGCGGAGCUCAUCACCGUUCCAAGCAGGGCCGUGUCACUGGACAGAGCCAUGACCGCGGCAUGGGGUGCGGCGAGCAUCUUCAUCUCUGUAAAUGGGUAAUGUAACUCUCAUUUUAUGGCUGAGAACCAGAGCGGCCAAGCCAUUUCUCCUGAGGUGCGCGGUGCCGAGGCAGGUGGUAGGUCCCUGUGUGCACGGUGGAUGUCACCGGUGUCUAGGGUACAGCGGCACUCGAGGUCCGCCUAGCCAGCAGGGGGGAGCUGGGAGAAGCCACGGAGAUUUUAAACCGACACGUGCGAUAAAAAUAAGAAACAAAGGCCACUUUGAGAUUUUAUAAAACAUGUGAACAUGGGUCCUUGCCGCUCGCACCGUCGUCAUCACAUCCUUGAGAGCGAAGGAGGUUCUCACAUUUCCAUUUUACAGAAAACCAAACAAAAACUUUGAGAGCCUUCUAGCAUGCCCUGGGCUCCACAGCCGUCACAGAAUAACACUGGGGACCCAGUCCACCUAUUCUGGGGCCAAAUCCCACAUCAGUGUCAGUGUGCGUCAGUUCCGCGGGCAGCGCUGCGCCCCGAGAGUCCGCUCUCAGCUCGCACCCCUCGCUCCCGGAAGGUAUUAGAAACUCACAAGACUUCUUCCGGCUCCGCCCCACGCACCGCGGCUGCCCUCCCGCGAGACUGGUUACCUUCACGUCAGCAGCGCCUUGUCUGAAGACCUCACAGAUGGCAGCUGGAGGACGUGCACACAAGGGCCGGAGAGUUGUCAGCGUCUCUGAGUAGGAUUCCCGUGCCGAGUGAGAUGAGGACCCGGGUUACUUCCACACGGUGAUUGUCAAACACGGGCGUGUGGCAGAACCACCUGAGACGACGUCAACGACGCAGGCUGCCUGGCUCCGUCACCAGACAUUCUGCCUCAUGAGGGUUUCCGCUUCUUCAGUUACCGCCUCACCUGCUUCCUCAGUCCCUCUUCGCAGAAGCUCCUUCCCCUGCGCAGACGUUCAGUGGACCUCCCUUCUUCAAGAGCAAAAACACGGGUCAUCACCUCCAGGGAACGGAGCCUCGCCCAGCCUCCGGAGACCCAGAGUGUGUCUCUCUCUCCAAGAGGAGGUCAGCACAUCACAGCCCAGAGCGCGGGGGAAGGUCACAAGGAGCGGGCAAUUCGCAAUGGAGUUUCCCGUGACCCACAGCCAGAAGUUGAAGGGCAGAGGAUGGCAGAGAUCAGUGGCCCUGAGGUCUGACCGCCGGCCAAGGCUCCCGCCAGACCUCAGCAGAUGA